UAAACGACUCUCGGCAACGGAUAUCUCGGCUCUCGCAUCGAUGAAGAACGUAGCGAAAUGCGAUACUUGGUGUGAAUUGCAGAAUCCCGUGAACCAUCGAGUCUUUGAACGCAAGUUGCGCCCGAAGCCUUCGGGCCGAGGNCACGUCUGCCUGGGCGUCAC
This 162-nucleotide ribosomal RNA is filed under the name Zeuktophyllum suppositum. Its description in RNAcentral is "5.8S ribosomal RNA". It matches the Rfam family "5.8S ribosomal RNA". Rfam says of the family: 5.8S ribosomal RNA (5.8S rRNA) is a component of the large subunit of the eukaryotic ribosome. It is transcribed by RNA polymerase I as part of the 45S precursor that also contains 18S and 28S rRNA. Functionally, it is thought that 5.8S rRNA may be involved in ribosome translocation. The record is from RNAcentral. Lineage: Eukaryota; Viridiplantae; Streptophyta; Magnoliopsida; Caryophyllales; Aizoaceae.